Molecule: long non-coding RNA, 3188 nt
Filed under: Salmo salar (Atlantic salmon)
Lineage: Eukaryota; Metazoa; Chordata; Actinopteri; Salmoniformes; Salmonidae
Description: lncRNA (ENSSSAG00000112497.1)
Rfam family: UnaL2 LINE 3' element (bases 963-1016)
Source: RNAcentral
GGUUUUUAUUGAGAUUAAAAAAACAUCAACAAAUAAAACAAAUAUUGACAUUUCACUUUAUUACAGCAAACUUUCCAAAUAUUUUCUCUGGAACAAAACUCAAACUCACAUUACCCUCAAAUUAAUGUUAGGUGGCUUCACAGACCUAUUUCUAAUUACAGAGAUAGAUGCACUAUGUUUUACAAUAUGUAUGUUUUUAUCUGUAUAGUGCAACUGCAUUGUCAAAAACAUUACAAGAUAAGAACAUUGAAUUAAUCGAAACAGCAUAGGAUAAGAGCAGACCAAGUUGAAAACAUGAAACUGAAAGAAACUUGUUACAGGAACGUGAAAUCAUACAAAUUAUAGAUUUUGCUGUGUACCUCAAUUACGAUUUUUAUAUGACAGAAAUUGCAAAGUUGCAAUGCAGUAUGAACUGAUAUUGUCAUGCACACAAUUCAUUAAAGAAAUUAAUAGCAGGCUAGAAGACAUGUUUAACAUACAUGCAAUCUUGAACAACAUUUACAUACAACUUCGCCCAGUCUGUGAAACCAAGCCAUCCACUUCAGGUGAAAGCCAGGUAAUAAAAAACAUGUAAAAAUAGUUGAUAGCUAACAGAUAAGUCUUAAAAAUAACUAUGAGUAUUGAUGUUUAGUGAAUUACAAGGAUGAUACUAGCUAACAAAAAACCCUCACAGUAGACAAUAACUAUACAUCUUCUGGGAGAUAUCUUAGUGAUGAUUGGAUUGGAAGUUUACAGUUACCGUCUUGACUCCACAAGGUGAAGUAUGCAAUGAAUCAAGUGAAAUAAAGUGCAACUAUGUUUAAUGGCACCGUCCCAAAUGGCACCUUAUUCCCUUUAUAGUGGUCACAUGUGGCUCAGUUGGUAGAGGAUGGUGGUAGAGCAUGGUUUGCAACGCCAGGGUUGUGGGUUUGAUUCCCACGGGGGACCAGUACGAAAAGAAGAAAAAAAAUGUAUGAAAUGUAUGCAUUCACUACUGUAAGUCGCUCUGGAUAACAGCGUCUGCUAAAUGACUAAAAUGUAAUAGUGCUCUACUUUUGACCAGGGUCCGUAGGCUCUGGUCAAAGUAGUGCACUUUAUAGGGAAGAGGGUGCCAUGACAGUGACACUAACAAAAUCUGUAUCGAAACAAAGAUAGCUGGGAAGAAGUUGUUACAUUCAAAGCUUUGGCAAUUAAGAGAAAUAAAAUUACAAGACAUUAGCAUUUUGAAAAUUGCAGACCCUCAGGAGAGAUAAGACAACAAUUAAAAGUAUGUUAUUUAUUUAUUACAAGAAACAAAACACUGAUUUAACCCAUUUUAGCUUCUUAUUUACCUAUAUGAGUAAAUAGACAAUUGAUUCAUACAUUCAUGAUCUUUCCCACAUUGUAACAUUUUGGAUGGAGAUGAAGGAACAUCUCGGUAAAAGCUCAAUGAGAAUAUCAUGACCAAAAGGAUGCGCAUGGAAUUAGAAACCGUAUCCAAAUGGGAUAAGUCUGCACAGACCAAUAUAUUAACAACUGUCAAUGAAAUUGUCUUCACAUCAUUCAAGCUAUGAAGGGGAAGAAAAAAAAAUGACAUGGUUUCCACAAAGCAUCAAAAAUAAUAGCAAGAGCAAAUAGACACGUAGGUUAAUUGAGAAAACUAAAGAGUUGGGUAAGAGCUAUCCCACUAGUAAAAUGUUAAAAACAUGUCCAUUCAUCCUACAAGAUGCUACUGAUAUUUUGUGUUUCCCGGCAACAAGGUAUGUUGUCUUGUUCAGUCUGCUCCACCUAGGUUCCUUUUACUUUAGAAACCUUUUUGGUUGAGCCAGGCUUCCUGCCUCCGCCUCUUAGAAACAACCCCCACCUUCUUUAUGAGCUGCCGCCACCUUACCAGGUUUGCUAGCCUUGUGACAACCACUGUGUGGUUUUAUUUCCUCUUCAAAUUGGACACAAGUCUUCGUCCUCAUCUCUCUCUGCAUCUUCAUUUUCCUCCUUCUCUGAAUCACAAGUUGUAUAAUCAACUUUCACAGAUGUUCUCCUGCCUCUUCGCCUCUGGGCUUGGAAGGCAGCUUCAUCUAACACAUUUGCUUUACCAUUGGUGCAGCGGUAAAGCUUUACUAUUGGAGAAACAGUGCACCCCUGUUUGGCUGGGGGUGCACUAUUGGACCUAUGCUUCUCUGCUGCUCUCUUGGCUUUGUUUGCUUGUACGGAGCCUAAGGGGCGGCCCCUCUUUUGCGGGGAACCAUCUAUAACGGGUGGCUUGGAAACUUUAGAGGUUGGAGGUGGGUUCUUCCGUAAGUGGGCACCUCUCCCCAUUGUUGCCUUGCGUGGACGGCCUCUUGCCCGUGGCUCAGCAGAGGUGGCUGGGGGAUCCAUGUAGGGGUGGAUGCGCGGCCUUCCGAGAGGCUUCCACACUCUUGAUCCCUUAGGUUGGCUUUUCAGUUUCUUUCUCUCUUCUUCCUCCUCGGUUGAUAGCGGGUUCUUCUUCGGCCUACCCAUUUUUUUUUUGGGUUUAACAUUUUGGGGCCGGCCAUGCUUCAGAGGUGCAGUUGGCUCUGCUGAAACAGCAUUAGGGUCAACCAGUUUACAUGGCCUGCCCCGUGGCCGCUUGUCUAGUACCCUCAGUAUCUUGGGUGUCUUAGAGCCUGAUCCUUUGGGCCUUCCCUUUCCCCUCUUAGGUGGUAUGGGGUUGCCAUUAGACAAGGCUUCACCUAACUCCUCAUCACUACCAGUAUCAGAGGCAAUUAUCUGUCCUUUUUCCGACACUGUUGCCCCUUUAUCCGACACUGUUGCCCCUUCUUCAGACACUGUUUCCCCUUCUUCAGACACUGUUGCCCCUUCUUCAGACAUUGUUGCCCCUUCUUUCAUCUGUUUUCUUGCAACCUGGCUCCUUCGUUCUUUCCUUCCAGCUCACUUUCUUGGAGGACUAGUGAACUACUUACGGCUUCCCACUGUAAAACACACAUCUCGAGAAAGUUACAAAACAAAAUGUUCUUUGUGCACCCCUUCAUUGCUUCAUAAAACUGACCUACAUUGGCACGAGAAAGUGUAGCUAACAUGUAUUGCAACAUGCACAGCCUAAACACAGAUUUUAUGUUUACUGAUUUUUCCAUUUAUGUAUAUGGUAAGGUGCACAAUACUAACAAAAUCUGAUAUGAACGUCUCCAUGACAUCCCUAAUUAAGGUUGCUGCAUUAAAGCGAUUCUGAAAUCUAGCUAGCUGGUAUCCUG